GACGAACGCUGGCGGCGUGCUUAACACAUGCAAGUCGAACGGAAAGGCCCUGCUUUUGUGGGGUGCUCGAGUGGCGAACGGGUGAGUAACACGUGAGUAACCUUCCCUUGACUUUUGGAUAACUUCAGGAAACUGGGGCUAAUACCGGAUAUGAGCUCCUGCUGCAUGGUGGGGGUUGGAAAGUUUCGGCGGUUGGGGAUGGACUCGCGGCUUAUCAGCUUGUUGGUGGGUUAGUGGCUUACCAAGGCUUUGACGGGUAGCCGGCCUGAGAGGGUGACCGGCAACAUUGGGACUGAGAUACGGCCCAGACUCCUACGGGAGGCAGCAGUGGGGAAUAUUGAACAAUGGGCGGAAGCCUGAUGAAGCAACGCCACGUGCGGGAUGACGGCCUUCGGGUUGUAAACCGCUUUAGCAUGUGACGAAGCGUGAGUGACGGUAAUGGGUAAAGAAGCACCGGCUAACUACGUG
RNAcentral lists this ribosomal RNA (468 nucleotides) under uncultured bacterium. RNAcentral's name for it is "partial 16S ribosomal RNA". It matches the Rfam family "Bacterial small subunit ribosomal RNA", at positions 28 to 507 of the family's 1533-position model. The record is from RNAcentral.